ACAUUCGGGUAAUCGCUGCCCUUUUUUCAGAGUGGCAGAGGAAAGUCCAUGCUCGCACGGUGCUGAGAUGCCCGUAGUGAUCACGCCUGGUGAAACAAUAAGCCAGGGCAGCCGGAUCCCGGCUGACGGCAGGGAAAACAUCUACGUCUAACCGGAUAUGAUGUGAAUACCUUGAAAGUGCCACAGUGACGAAGCUUUGCCGGAAACGGCAAAGGUGGAACGAGGUAAACCCCGUGAGCGAGAAACUCAAAUUAUGGUAGAGGCACUCUUAUAGCGGAAAUGAACGCAGCAAGAGGCAGACAAAACGUCUGCAGAUAGAUGAUUACCGCCCGAGUACGAGAUCGCCUAUGAUCGCCUGUAGUACAAAGGUACAGAACAUGGCUUAUAGAA
RNAcentral lists this RNase P RNA (390 nucleotides) under Bacillus sp. (in: firmicutes). Its description in RNAcentral is "Bacillus sp. (in: Bacteria) RNase P RNA component class B". It matches the Rfam family "Bacterial RNase P class B". Rfam says of the family: Ribonuclease P (RNase P) is a ubiquitous endoribonuclease, found in archaea, bacteria and eukarya as well as chloroplasts and mitochondria. Its best characterised activity is the generation of mature 5'-ends of tRNAs by cleaving the 5'-leader elements of precursor-tRNAs. The record is from RNAcentral. Lineage: Bacteria; Bacillati; Bacillota; Bacilli; Caryophanales; Bacillaceae.